UGAACGCUGGCGGCGUGCCUAAUACAUGCAAGUCGAGCGAACAGAUGAGGAGCUUGCUCCUCUGACGUUAGCGGCGGACGGGUGAGUAACACGUGGAUAACCUACCUAUAAGACUGGGAUAACUUCGGGAAACCGGAGCUAAUACCGGAUAAUAUAUUGAACCGCAUGGUUCAAUAGUGAAAGACGGUUUUGCUGUCACUUAUAGAUGGAUCCGCGCCGCAUUAGCUAGUUGGUAAGGUAACGGCUUACCAAGGCAACGAUGCGUAGCCGACCUGAGAGGGUGAUCGGCCACACUGGAACUGAGACACGGUCCAGACUCCUACGGGAGGCAGCAGUAGGGAAUCUUCCGCAAUGGGCGAAAGCCUGACGGAGCAACGCCGCGUGAGUGAUGAAGGUCUUCGGAUCGUAAAACUCUGUUAUUAGGGAAGAACAAAUGUGUAAGUAACUAUGCACGUCUUGACGGUACCUAAUCAGAAAGCCACGGCUAACUACG
RNAcentral lists this ribosomal RNA (493 nucleotides) under uncultured bacterium. RNAcentral's name for it is "partial 16S ribosomal RNA". It matches the Rfam family "Bacterial small subunit ribosomal RNA", at positions 30 to 505 of the family's 1533-position model. The record is from RNAcentral.